Molecule: long non-coding RNA, 191 nt
Filed under: Pongo abelii (Sumatran orangutan)
Lineage: Eukaryota; Metazoa; Chordata; Mammalia; Primates; Hominidae
Description: lincRNA
Source: RNAcentral
AACACCCCUCCCCUCCCCUCUGCGAGGAAGAAUUUGGGCCGCGGGGUCUGCGGUCCCAAGACUCCAGCAGCCUGGGGGGGGGGGGGGGGUGGGGGUGCGGUAGAGCUUCCCGAGGAAGUUAUGGGACCUUGCCUCGGGAUAUUCAGAAGUGCCAGUCCGGUUCUGGCAGCCUGAACCUUUCCUCCUCCAAG